AAUGGAAUUAGGCAAUACAAAAGAAAUCUGUCCUGUGCUCGUUUCAGAAAUGUAAAGUGAUAAAGACUAAAAAAGCGCAAUGCUUUUUAAGUGGAGCACUUGGAUGAUUACCAAAAAGGAACCACUACAUCACUGCAGUUGACAGAAGACACUAAACCUCUGUGCAGUUUCUAGAUGUUCAGAUGCUUUCUUCAGUUGUAGAACAGACUUCAAAUAUGGAUUAAAAAUGUUCAUUCCAAAUUAACCAAGAAGGGAAUUAUGAACAACCCAUUCCUCUUCAGACUACCUCAACCUGUUCAGCAAUAUGUAGCACAGAAAGAAUCUCACGCAGAUCUCUGAGCUUUGGCAUGUUCUCUAGUAGCUGUGAGGUGCUCUCACAUCACCCAAGGCAGAAGAGUUUCAAGGGGCAGAAACUCUCAGCUUUGCUAUUUUCCUGGAAAACACAAACUUCUAUUUGCACUGUUACCAAAGAUGAACAAACAAAAGAAAUUGCAUCCCACACUGAACUGAAAACAACCCAUGAUUUCUGCCUGAAUUUCUUUAGCUCCAUCUGAUUUGUGUCUUGAUAAUAUUAUGAAGUCUUUUUGGUUUUAGAUGUCCAUGGUAUCUUUCAUCCCAGAACCUGUUGUUGUGUGCUCUGAAGGAUCAGCCAACAGUGGUAGCCAUAAUGCUAUAAUGCAUAAUUCUUCAAGGAACAGCACACACAUACUCCUCCAGGAUUUUCCUUGAAGAAGUUGCAGCUGGACAUUCCUGGUGCAUAUGAUUCGUCAAGUAGACAGAGGUGAGAAGGCAAAUCUACAGUGAUUCAAAUACCUUCAAGGACAGAAGUAAAGCCCUGCUGAGAUCUGAGGCUAUUGAUGCACUUCUCAGAGAUCAUUUUGUG
Corapipo altera (White-ruffed manakin) is the source of this 883-nucleotide long non-coding RNA. RefSeq lists it as uncharacterized. The transcript has 3 exons. The record is from RefSeq and is a predicted model, not a curated record. NCBI's taxonomy places the organism in Eukaryota, Metazoa, Chordata, Aves, Passeriformes, Pipridae.